AUGCUAUUUUUUCCAUUCAUUACCUUUGAGGAUCAGUCGUGGUCUUCUAGACUCUACCAAAAGUCUGGACGAAUUUGUUGUUUCAUCCAAAUGUGUAAAAGAUCAUAGUCGCACUUAAAAGCCGAGUACUCUACCAUUGAGUUAGCAACCCAGAUAAAAAAAGGAUCUUAGAUACGAUCGAAAUCCAAAAAUCAAUGGAAUUACACCGCGCGCUUCUGUCAAAACAUUGAACUAGCAAGACAUCAAAAGAUUUUUUUUAUCGACCAUGAAAAACACUCAAAUGCCAAAACGAACAGGUCCGGUGAAAUUCCACUAAAGUAAAGUUAAAAAAAGAGCGACCCUAAUCACGAUGGCCAAAUUCUCCUUAUUUUUAGCGAUUUUUAUUAACAAAAAAUAUAUAUUAUAAAAAAUAUAUAUUAUAUUGUAUGAGAAUACAUGCAAGAGGAACACCCUUAUCAUUUGAGCGAAGUGUAGGCGGAAAAAUUGAAUAUGGAGUGAGGAUAAAGAGACCCAUCUAUCUACAAAUUCUAUUUGUUCAAUAGACCUUUGUCAAUGGAAAUACAAUGGUAAGAAAACAAAUUAGAUAGAAAAAGUAAAUAAAAUAGGGGCUUAUGUUGGAUUGGCACGAUAUAAUAUAAAUCCAAAUAGGAUUAAAAAAGAGGUAAAUUGUGUCUAAAUAAUUAGACAACUAGGAAUACUAAUAAUCUUCUCCUAUCCUAUUUUUUGAUUCAUUUAGUUCUUCAAUUAACUCAAAGUUCUUUCUUUUUCUUUAAAGAAUUCUGCCUUCCUUAAAAUAUCAUAAACAGUUCUUGUUGGUUGAGCACCCUUUUCAAGGAAAUAGAGAAUAGCUGGAACAUUUAAACAAGUUUGAUUCUUUAUCGGAUCAUAAAAACCUACUUUUUGAAGAUCUCUUCCUUCUCUUCGAGAUCGAACAUCAAUUGCAACGAUUCGAUAGACAGCUUAUUGGGAUAGAUGUAGAUAAACAACGCCCCCCCCUAGAAACGUAUAUGAGGUUUUCUCCUCAUACGGCUCGAGAAAAUGAUUCGAAUUUCUGUCGAUAAUAA
Non-coding RNA from Triticum urartu, 1064 nucleotides. Lineage: Eukaryota; Viridiplantae; Streptophyta; Magnoliopsida; Poales; Poaceae. The record is from RefSeq and is a predicted model, not a curated record.